This 240-nucleotide unclassified non-coding RNA is filed under the name soil metagenome. RNAcentral describes it as "partial contains 5.8S ribosomal RNA, internal transcribed spacer 2, and large subunit ribosomal RNA". The record is from RNAcentral.
AACCUUAUGGACCUGCGGGCGUAUACCUGCGGAAGGAUCAUUAACCUUUCAAAAAACAGGGUGCGUCGCGGCCCCCCUCCGGGGGCGGUUUGGGGUCCUCCCCUUCACGCGCGCACGACUGCAUCCUUACUUUACGAGCACCUUCUGUUCUCCCUCGGCGGGGCAACCUGCCGUCGGAACCGAAUAAACCCUUUUUUGCAUCCAGCAUUACCCGUUCCGAAACAAACAAUCGUUACAACU